UAUCCAAUGUAUAUUAACACCAGUUUCAUUUUACACAGAACUGAUUAACAGUGUUGUUUUUGGAUUGUUGUAAUUGUUGCUAUUUUUUGUUGUUAUAGUUGUUGCUGUCAUAGUCGUCAUUUUAACCGGGGACGCCGGGGACAUGUCCCCGGCAAAAUUUGUGAUUGGCAGCUGUGUCCCCCCCACUUUCAAAAAAGCCUGCUGAUGAGGAUUUUUGUUUUACCAGCUCAGAUCUUAUACCAGGGGUCGGCAACCUGUUCCAAUCAAAGAGCCAUUAUUACCCGUUUCCCACAGUAAAGAAAACACUGGGAGCCACAGCGGCCGCAUCGUUGUGGGCGGGGCCUACCCUCAGACAGCAGAGAGCUGCUCACAACCAGGUGACAGCAGCCGGUACCAUGGGCGUCGCACCCGUGGGGGAUGCAACACCCACACUUUUCCAGCUGUUUUGCUCACCUCCACACCAGUCUGGAUUCUUUAGGUCGCACUCACUCUGUUUGCCUCAUCUCCUUCUUCACCUCCCCUAUUCUGACAGCCGAUGUCGGGUUCAAGGAGAGCAGGAGAGGGAGGGACGGAAGAGCUCGACUGAAUUCAUAAUUUUACAUCUUGACAUUAGCUGUACAAAGUCUGAGUUUGAUCAAGUGAAGAACACCAAUCUGCAGAGGUUUAUAACAGGCGCAGCGCCAGGUUUUCAUUUUUGGGUGGGCCACGGUAAUUUUGGACGGACCUUAAUAAGCAGUGACUUAAGUGAAGCAGGCAGGUCGCGCUAGAAAUUUUUGUUUUAAAAGACGUCAUAAAUGUGUUCCCCCGUCAUUUUUAUUUCUAAAAUAUGAAGUAAAAACUCCCAAUUUAAUUUUCAUUCAUUUGUCAUUAAUAUUUAGUCUACACCCGUGCGUUAAGUGGACCAUCUUCCAGUAAAAGCAAAGCAUCCGGCCCACCUCUCCAAAUGCGUAAAAUAUGCAUCACAGCCACUAGGCGCACCGCGGGCACCGUCAGCUACGUCAGUCCAGACAAGAGCAGAGCAAUUAGAGAAAGAAUAGAGGAUAAUUGUCUGGAUGUGGAUGGAGAUUACAUUUUACAGCAGCCUGAUCAUCAUUUAAAUACGUAAACCAUCACCUGUCUUCUAGUCCACGCUAUCAGCAUUAUUUUAAUUUGUGUGUGUGUGUGUGUGUGUGUGUGUUUUCCACUUCAAACACUGGUCUAACCAACCAGACCAGCAUGUCCAGUAACUUAUUAAUGUUACAAUUAAACAGUUUCACUUCAUGUAGGCUAGGAACAUUUCACCUGCCGUGGCCCGACCGCUUCUGCUCCACAUGAACUUUGUGCGUGAUCAAAUAUCUCUACAGGUGUUUUCUGAGCUGAAGAGACUAUUCUGCCUCAGACUGGAUGCAUCAUGCGUCUCCAUAUUAGAGAUGGGAACAAGCGCUAUUCAGCCAAACUUUCAUAAUUUCAUAAAAAUAACAUUUUCCAAGUGACACAUCCCUCAGAGAGACCGGGUUUCCAGAACGCUUCAGUGGGAGGAAAUCAACCAACAUCCUUGAGUUUAUCCGUCAAAAUAAACAGUCAAAUGGAAAUAUCUGUAACCUGUCAUUUAACUGUUUUGCCUUCCUGUGAAGAUUGUUGCAAAGAGAAACAACUAAACCUGAUUAACCCCAGAGCCACGCGCACUGCACUGUUCUGACUGUAAAUGAGGAGGAAACGAUUUAAUCAGAUCCUUUUCUUUUCAACAUGGUUUAAUGUAAAGUUUCACUCAGUACAAACUUUAGUUACACCAAUCUAACGAGACAGAGCCUGGAUUUGUAUUCUGAACAGUUUAAACAUGUUUAAAAUGGAGACAUGCGUGACGCGUCUAAAAUUCACACCUGCUCCGCUAUUAUGGAAAUUAAAAUAACAAGAUGAAUAACAUGAACUUAUUUUAGGCACAGACAACAUCCCCACACUUUUGAAAAGCUUGCAACGCACCUGGUCGCUCGUGUACGUCAAAGUUAUCUUUCAUAAAAAGAUAAUCAAUAAAACGAUUAAAUAAAGUGGAUCCAGAAGCUGUAGCCCGUCUCUGCCUUCAAUAUUCACACUGUUGGUGGUUGUACUGAGCAGGUGCCACUUUUGUCAUAUGUUUCUUUUUAAAACAUGUUUAGACUGUUCAGAAUACAAAUCCAGGCUCUGUCACGUUUGAUUGUUGUAAUUAAACUUUGUAGGUGGGGAAGGUCAGAAAGCAGCUCAGAAGCGCAUGAUUUCGCACAAGCGUGACGCGUCAACCCGGUCUCACAGACCGGGUUGGACCUGUUCAGGUUUACGCAGACAAUCUUUACAUUUAGAAUUGGCAUACAGAUGUAAAAUUAAUGCAGUAAAAUAUAAAGCAUUUUAUUUAAAUAUCCAUUCAUUAUUUUACAAGCACAGAGAGCGCAUCAGAUGGAUGGAGGAGCCGCAUGCGGCUCCAGAGCCGCGGGUUGCCGUCCCCUGUGCUAGCCUACUUUAUUGUCCCCAGCAAUUUUUAAGCCCCACUCAAGUGUAUGGUUAUUGUCCCCAGCAAUUCUGAAAACAAACUGACGCCCUUGGUUGCUGUUUAUUAUUGUAAAAUUGAUGUUUGAAUUAUUUUUUUAUUCUUUAUUCUUUGGGGAUUUAUUGUUUAUUUUCCCCAUCCAUUCUGCACUCCAGUAGGUGUCGUGAGUGCGCAAGUUGCUUGCCAACUGAUGAGCUGACUGGAAAAGGAGGCGACAGGCUCAACAUCACGGGAAAAAAAAGAAACUAGGCACACAAGCCCUUUCACUUUCAUUUCCCCUUUGUGACUGUGUUGACAGUGACCAUCGUGGUGUCUAUUGUGGGUAAGAGAAUUACAUUAAAUUACAACGUUAGCUAGAUAACGUUUAAGGUAAUUAUUGCUAACUACCCUACAUUUAGCAGAAGAGAGAAGAUAACUUGCAGUCGCGUGCAAAAGUGCCUUUUAUGAAAGGCAACGUAACACCGCCUGAAACUUUUCAUUUCAUUUUCGUCUUGUGAUUUCAUCGUGGUGCCUGUUGUAGGUAAGAUAAUUACAUUAAAUGAGAUUGUUAGCUAACUAACAUUUAAGCUAAAUAUGCGCGCGUGCGAAAGUGCAUUUUAUUAAAGUUAAUAUGUUACAACUCAGCAGAAUAGACAUUAACAUCGUAACGUAAUACCGCAUGAGACUUUUCACUUUGAUUUCCCUGUUGUGAUUUAAUCGUGGUGCCCAUUGUAGGUAAGAGAAUUACACGAAAUGAGAACUUUAGCUAACAAACGUUUAAGCUAACUAUGCGCUCGCGCGCGAAACUGCCUUUAAUGAUCUGUGAUAAGUUCAAGGUUUGUGAGUUACAACACUUUUUGAGCCAACAAAGGCUUCAUGUCCUGGACCGCCAUCUUAAAUGCUUCCUUAUGUGGCCCCACUUACUUCAAUUACCAUCUUUAAUGGAAAAAAUAAUUCUAAUGUGACACUCAGUUUUGAUAAUGAUUGCUGUCUCUUUCGUUUCAGCCCAUUUAUGGACGUCUUUGUGGCCAACAAACUGAGUGAGUGGCAGCUAUCAGAGCUAACAAACAGUUUUAAAGGUGAGUGUAUUGACUGGACAGAUUUGUAUAUGAUGCAAAAGUAAAUUAAUUUCAGGAAUUCAACUAAAAAGGAGAUGCUAACAGGGUUUUUCCUGGCUCAAGUUGAGGCAGAGGUGGUACCAUCCUGACCAUGCGCCAGCACAUGCGUACUCUGUGCAUUCAACUGCCUCACUUUUUUAAAGGCAAAAUAUUAUAAAAGGCUCAAUAAUAUGCAUUAGAUUGGCGUUUAGUUCCCUUUUUCCCAUCUGAUAUUUAUAGUUGAAAUUAUUUUUUAAUAGUUGACCUACAUUUCAGUAACAUUUUAGGUUUGUAUUAAUAACACUCAUCUUAGUCAAAAUAACACAUAAAUGUAUCCAGUAAAAUAUAAUGCAUUUCAUGCAUUUGUAUUAGAAAUGGUAAUAACAUUUAAUUUCUGCUGCUAACAAUGUAAUGGUGGGAUGUCUAUUAUGUACAGGUUAGGGUUGGCCCCCAAAAUGCCUUGAAACGGCCCUGGGUGUGUGACUGAGUUUUGAAGUUGAUCUGAAUUGUAUCACAUGUAGAAAUAUUACAUGUGUAUAACUUAGUGUUUUAUACAGGUAAAAACGUGUAGUGGAGAUAAACCUACCUACAUUUUACUUUCAAGCUUUGUUUUCUUGUUUUUAUUUAUCUAUUUCCUGUCCUGUCUGUCUCUCAUCUUCCUGCAUCUCCUCUAAACUCUCCAGAUAAACUGCAGCCUGGAUUUUUACUUUUUCACCUUAUCAGUUACUUCUGAGCAGAUCAAAGGGAUCUCCUGACUGCAAAGUGGAGAGCGCAUUUCGAUGCUGCGUCAGUGAGGUGAAAUCACCGCAGCACACAAUGAGCGGAGCGCGUCAGGAACAAUUAAAAGACAGAAUACCAGAGGAUAUGAACAGAUAUGAACGAUCAUGUGUUAAUAAUAAUGUUUUGUUGCACCACCUUGAGAAUGUAUCAUGUGCCGGACGCAGCGGGCGCACCAACGAUCAGCGCUCUGCAUCCUCUCCGCUCAACAGAAUCCCGCUACGCUGAGAGUCCAUAAAUACUGUAAUAUAGGCAGAAACUGGAUCUUUCCCUGAAAGAUAUCUAGACCCCAUAACUCGAUCCCUGCCCCUGGAUGAAAAACCGGACAUUUUGAUCAAUGUAGGACCCCCCACCCCCCCUUUUGGUUCUUUUUGCUUUAUCUUCCAGAUUAAGAUAUAGACGAGGAGUCAUUUCUCCUCUUAGAUGAGGACACCAUCAAACAACUCAUCCCCAAAAUUGGACCCAGAGUCAAGUUCUUAAAACAGUAUAGAGAAUUUGUAAGUUAUCACUAGAGUCAAACAGGCUCAACAUUCUCAAGGGACAUGGCUUAUACAUGCUUUACAGUUUUUUUCAAUUGUUUAAACUCAAAAAGCAAAAAUGAGGCACAAUUUUCACAACCUCUACUUCUGUUCCCAAUCGCUUGACUCAAUUUAUCUCUACUUAAGAUUUCCUUAUAUCAGAACUCUGAUUGUCCUCCUUUACACUCUGAUGUCAAUUUCACAUCACCUUGCUGUCAAAACACAGCACACAAUUUUCAGGUUUACACACACUUCUCACAUAAAUUCUCAAAGCUUCAAUCAACAACACACAAAUAUUCAAAUCUCUAAACUUCCGGGUCUGGCGAGCAAUUUGCAAUUAGGGACUGCAGCAUAAAAGUAAGUUUCCACAAGGCUACCCAGGUGUAUGAGUGGUUUCAGGACCACCCACGGUUUUCCAUUUUAUACCUUCCACCUUAUUCCCCCUUCCUCAAUCCCACUGAGGAGUUUUUCUCAGCCUGGAGGUGGAAGGUGUACAAAAGGAAUCCACUGAGCCAGGUCCCACUGCUUCAAGCCAUGGAGGAGGCUUGUAGAGAUGUGGCCUUUAAGGCCUGUCAGGGCUUCAUGAGGCACUCGAGGCGGUACUUCCAGCGCUGUUUGGACCAGGAGGACAUCGCCUGUGAGGUGGAUGAGGCCCUCUGGCCAGACAGAGACUGGAGGCAUGAUGCCCCAUGAUUAUGCUUGGAUGGGAGAGGGGGUGGAGGGUUAACUGUAAAAAUAAAAUGUUUUGUCUCAAAAUUUGUGUGAUGUCUGCUCAGAUGCAUUUUGCUCAGAGAGAAGUGGGCACUGUCAUACAUUCAGUGUGUAAUUCAUUGUGUUCCAUUUAGACAAUUGUGUUUUCAGUUUUGCCCUUCGAGGGCCGGCUUUGCAGACAGGCGACACAGGCGGCCGCCUGGGGCGCCAUCUGAUGGAUAGGGCGCAAAAAAAAAAGUUGAUUAAAUUUAUGUUUGUUAUAUGAAAUGCACUCUCUACAUACUCAAAAUUCCCCUUUGAAAUGACAUGAAAUUAAAACAUCAAUAUUUAAAUUCUAAUGAUCUGGCUGCAUGACGAGCUCCCGCUUGGGCCACCGCUCCGAUGCAUUUGACCGUUAAGGGUGCCGUAGAUCACAUGCGUGGGUAGCACUGUAGAAGGACAUCCUGUUGUCGCGUUUAAACUUUUGAUAUCUUUUACGAUGAAAAGAACACCUAAGCCAUCGGGAUCAGCAUUCCCAAAGUGAAGGAAGGAGGAAGAAUAAAAACGGGCCCAAAGCAGAGGUCUGUAGACUUUAUAAAUUUGGCAAAGGAACUUUUUGAGUUACCAUUGUAGCUAACUGCCUCUCCUGCCACGCACGGUCCACGGACGGACCCUCGCUAGCUGUUUACAUUCACAAUACAGUAUCUCAUAACUUUAACCAAUUAAUUUUACUUUUGAAUCGUCGUGUCCAGAUGCAGUGAGACAAUAUCUGCAGCCACACAGGCACCUGUUGACACCACAGGGGGGGGGGGGGGGGGGGGCUGUCUUCUACACCCGUUGAGUCUCACUGUGAUGAUGAAGAAUCGUCUUCUAUCCAAGCAUCAAGCAGCAGCAGCACAUUUACUGAGCUACAAUCUCAGCAUCUAGAACCAGAAAAAGAGCCCAACACCAGCAGACUCAGUGCUCCAAUCCAACAGCCUGAAGAGACAUCAUCAUCAGCUUCAACAGAUGUCUGUGAACAUGUAUGACCUGCUGGCCCCAUGGAUCCUGCUGACUGGCCACAGCAGUUGAACAAAAUGGAAAGUAGAACUUUCUUUAUGAUGACACUGAUAUUUGAGUUUUGCUUUUGAUUGCA
Molecule: non-coding RNA, 6693 nt
Organism: Nothobranchius furzeri (turquoise killifish)
Lineage: Eukaryota; Metazoa; Chordata; Actinopteri; Cyprinodontiformes; Nothobranchiidae
Source: RefSeq, a predicted model, not a curated record